UACGGGGGGGGCAAGCGUUGUUCGGAAUUACUGGGCGUAAAGGGCUCGUAGGCGGCCAACUAAGUCAGACGUGAAAUCCCCAGGCUCAACCUGGGAACUGCGUCUGAUACUGGAUGGCUUGAAUCCGGGAGAGGGAUGCAGAAUUCCAGGUGUAGCGGUGAAAUGCGUAGAUAUCUGGAGGAAUACCGGUGGCGAAGGCGGCAUCCUGGACCGAGAUUGACGCUGAACGACGAAAGCUAGGGGAGCAAACGGG
Molecule: ribosomal RNA, 253 nt
Filed under: uncultured bacterium
Lineage: Bacteria
Description: partial 16S ribosomal RNA
Rfam family: Bacterial small subunit ribosomal RNA
Source: RNAcentral